GAUGAAGAACGUAGCGAAAUGCGAUAAGUAGUGUGAAUUGCAGAAUUCAGUGAAUCAUCGAAUCUUUGAACGCACAUUGCGCCCCUUGGUAUCCCGAGGGGCAUGACUGUUCGAGCGUCAUUUCACCACUCAAGCCUGGCUUGGUGUUGGGCGACGUCCCCUUUGGGGACGCGCCUCGAAACGCUCGGCGGCGUGGCACCGGCUUUAAGCGUAGCAGAAUCUUUCGCUUUGGAAGUCGGGGCCCCGUCUGCCGGAAGACCUACUCGCAAGGUUGACCUCGGAUCAGGCAGGGAUACCCGCUGAACUUAAGCAUAUCAAUAAGCGGAGGA
Molecule: unclassified non-coding RNA, 329 nt
Filed under: soil metagenome
Description: partial contains 5.8S ribosomal RNA, internal transcribed spacer 2, and large subunit ribosomal RNA
Rfam family: 5.8S ribosomal RNA (bases 1-120)
Source: RNAcentral